ACCGGGAGAAAAGAAAACAACAGGGAUUGCCCUAGUAACGGCGAGUGAAGCGGCAACAGCUCAAAUUUGAAAUCUGGCUCUUUUAGAGUCCGAGUUGUAAUUUGCAGAGGGCGCUUUGGCUUUGGCAGCGGUCCAAGUUCCUUGGAACAGGACGUCACAGAGGGUGAGAAUCCCGUACGUGGUCGCUGGCUAUUGCCGUGUAAAGCCCCUUCGACGAGUCGAGUUGUUUGGGAAUGCAGCUCUAAAUGGGAGGUACAUUUCUUCUAAAGCUAAAUAUUGGCCAGAGACCGAUAGCGCACAAGUAGAGUGAUCGAAAGAUGAAAAGCACUUUGGAAAGAGAGUCAAACAGCACGUGAAAUUGUUGAAAGGGAAGCGCUUGCAGCCAGACUUGCUUACAGUUGCUCAUCCGGGUUUUUACCCGGUGCACUCUUCUGUAGGCAGGCCAGCAUCAGUUUGGGCGGUAGGAUAAAGGUCUCUGUCACGUACCUCCUUUCGGGGAGGCCUUAUAGGGGAGACGACAUACUACCAGCCUGGACUGAGGUCCGCGCAUCUGCUAGGAUGCUGGCGUAAUGGCUGUAAGCGGCCCGUCUUGAAACACGGACCAAGGAGUCUAACAUCUAUGCGAGUGUUUGGGUGUCAAGCCCGAGCGCGUAAUGAAAGUGAACGGAGGUGGGAACCCGCAGGGUGCACCAUCGACCGAUCCUGAUGUCUUCGGAAGGAUUUGAGUAAGAGCAUGGCUGUUGGGACCCGAAAGAUGGUGAACUAUGCUUGAAUAGGGUGAAGCCAGAGGAAACUCUGGUGGAGCUCGCAGCGGUUCUGACGUGCAAAUCGAUCGUCAUAUUUGGGCAUAGGGGCGAGAGACUAAUCGAAAUUUCUAUUACCUGGUUCCUGCCGAAGAUACUCCCCGGGGAUAAGAAGAAC
This 921-nucleotide ribosomal RNA is filed under the name Alternaria sp. TD9. Its description in RNAcentral is "eukaryotic LSU rRNA". It matches the Rfam family "Eukaryotic large subunit ribosomal RNA", at positions 49 to 993 of the family's 3401-position model. Lineage: Eukaryota; Fungi; Ascomycota; Dothideomycetes; Pleosporales; Pleosporaceae. The record is from RNAcentral.